UACGUAGGGCGCGAGCGUUGUCCGGAAUUAUUGGGCGUAAAGAGCUCGUAGGCGGUUUGUUGCGUCGGAUGUGAAAGCCCGGGGCUUAACCCCGGGUCUGCAUUCGAUACGGGCAGACUGGAGUGUGGUAGGGGAGAUCGGAAUUCCUGGUGUAGCGGUGAAAUGCGCAGAUACCAGGAGGAACACCGGUGGCGAAGGCGGAUCUCUGGGCCAUUACUGACGCUGAGGAGCGAAAGCGUGGGGAGCGAACAGG
RNAcentral lists this ribosomal RNA (253 nucleotides) under uncultured bacterium. Its description in RNAcentral is "partial 16S ribosomal RNA". It matches the Rfam family "Bacterial small subunit ribosomal RNA", at positions 524 to 776 of the family's 1533-position model. The record is from RNAcentral.